GGGGAGACUAAUACUCAAAUAGGGAGAAGCUCUGCUCUAGUUGUCACUAGGUCUCCCUAUAUUAAAGCUGCCUUUCAAUGACCGGGACAAAUUGAGGGAAAUCGUAACGGGGCAGAUACAGGGCAUGUAGUU
Molecule: small nucleolar RNA, 132 nt
Filed under: Salvator merianae (Argentine black and white tegu)
Lineage: Eukaryota; Metazoa; Chordata; Lepidosauria; Squamata; Teiidae
Description: Small Cajal body specific RNA 8 (ENSSMRG00000008794.1)
Rfam family: Small Cajal body specific RNA 8
About the family: scaRNAs are a specific class of small nuclear RNAs which localise to the Cajal bodies and guide the modification of RNA polymerase II transcribed spliceosomal RNAs U1, U2, U4, U5 and U12. U92 belong to the H/ACA box class of guide RNAs as it has the predicted hairpin-hinge-hairpin-tail structure, conserved H/ACA-box motifs and is found associated with GAR1.
Source: RNAcentral